UGCUGAGGGAAACUUAAAUCGAAAAUGGUCACCCUGUCUGCAGAACAUGCAAAAAUAUUUAAAAAAUUAAAAAAUAAAUAAACCACUGCAAAAGGGGGCAACACUUCACAUCUCUUGAGUCAUUACUUUAUAGCAAAUGAAAGAGUGGGCGUGCAGCAGGCAAACCCAGUGAUGCUACUGGUCCCUCAUCUACAGUUGUGACACAAACACUCCAGCAAGCAUUUAAAAAGGCAGGCUGCUUAUGCACCCACAUCAAAAAAUGCUCAAGACCUCACUGCAGCCCUUUCAUAUUACAUUGCAAAGGACAUGAUGCCAUUUCAUAUUGUUGAGAAGCCUGGCGUUCUGAGGCUGAUGAAGGUUGCCGUGCCUCACUACAAAGUGAGUGCUGAUCAUUUUGUGUUAGUUUAUGUGGUUGUGUUCAUUUAAACCUGCACUAGGGAAACUUUUACUUAUCAUGGCCAGAUGCCAUCUUUAAUGUUAAUUCUGUUAUUUUAAUGUUUAUGCAUACAAAAAGUGCAUCGUAAUGCUAAUUUUAUUUGUUUGUUGGUUUUCAAUAUAAAAACUUGGUGAAAUGA
Oncorhynchus gorbuscha (pink salmon) is the source of this 575-nucleotide long non-coding RNA. RefSeq lists it as uncharacterized. The record is from RefSeq and is a predicted model, not a curated record. The transcript is spliced from 2 exons. Lineage: Eukaryota; Metazoa; Chordata; Actinopteri; Salmoniformes; Salmonidae.